Molecule: ribosomal RNA, 253 nt
Filed under: uncultured bacterium
Lineage: Bacteria
Description: partial 16S ribosomal RNA
Rfam family: Bacterial small subunit ribosomal RNA
Source: RNAcentral
UACGUAGGGGGCGAGCGUUGUCCGGAGUUACUGGGCGUAAAGCGCACGCAGGCGGUCUGCUAAGUUUGGAGUGACAGUUUGUGGCUUAACUGCCAAAGUGCUUCGAAAACUGACAGACUUGAGGGCUUCAGAGGGACACGGAAUUCCGGGUGGAGUGGUGAAAUGCGUAGAGAUCCGGAGGAACACCAAAGGCGAAGGCAGUGUCCUGGGGAGUUCCUGACGCUCAGGUGCGAAAGCCAGGGGAGCGAACGGG